RNAcentral lists this ribosomal RNA (336 nucleotides) under Triticum aestivum (bread wheat). RNAcentral describes it as "partial small subunit ribosomal RNA". Lineage: Eukaryota; Viridiplantae; Streptophyta; Magnoliopsida; Poales; Poaceae. The record is from RNAcentral.
AUGAUUUUUGAAAUUAAUAAAAAAUAUUGCCGAAAGAAUCAAGUGAAGGGGGCCCACACCCUAGCCACAAGGGUGGGGGGUGCGCCAUCCAUCCUUGUGGGCCCCCUGGACCUCCACCGACCUCAACUCCAACUCCAUAUAUUCACGUUCGGGGAGAAACAAAUUAGAGAGAAGGAUUCAUCGCGUUUUACGAUACGGAGCCGCCGCCAAGCCCUGUUCUUCCUCGGGAGGGCAGAUCUGGAGUUCGUUCGGGGCUCCGGAGAGGGGAAUACGUCGCCAUCGUCAUCAUCAACCAUCCUCCAUCACCAAUUUCAUGAUGCUCACCGCCGUGCGUGA